Molecule: ribosomal RNA, 441 nt
Filed under: uncultured bacterium
Lineage: Bacteria
Description: partial 16S ribosomal RNA
Rfam family: Bacterial small subunit ribosomal RNA
Source: RNAcentral
CCUACGGGAGGCUGCAGUGGGGGAUAUUGCACAAUGGGGGAAACCCUGAUGCAGCGACGCCGCGUGGGCGAAGAAGUACUUCGGUAUGUAAAGCCCUAUCAGCAGGGAAGAAGCAAUGACGUUACUUGAGGAAGAAGCACGGGCUAAAUACGUCCCAGCAGCCACGGUAAUACGUAUGGUGCAAGCGUGAUCCGGAUGUACUGGGUGUAAAGGGAGCGCAGGGGGCACGGCAAGCCUGAUGUGAAAGCCCGCGGCCCACCCGCGGGACUGCAUUGGGAACUACCGGGCUGGAGUGCCGGAGGGGUAGGCGGAAUUCCUGGUGUAGCGGUGAAAUGGGAGGAUAUUAGGAGGAACACCGGUGGCGAGGGCGGCCUACUGGACGGUGACUGACGCGGGGGCUCGAAGGCGUGGGAGGCAAACAGGAUUGGAUACCCUGUAGUC